Molecule: ribosomal RNA, 254 nt
Filed under: uncultured bacterium
Lineage: Bacteria
Description: partial 16S ribosomal RNA
Rfam family: Bacterial small subunit ribosomal RNA
Source: RNAcentral
UACGUAGGGUGCGAGCGUUAAUCGGAAUUACUGGGCGUAAAGUGUGCGCAGGCGGCUCUGCAAGUCGAGUGUGAAAUCCCCGGGCUUAACCUGGGAACUGCGCUUCUAACUGGCAGGCUUGAGUGCGGCAGAGGGGGGGUGGAAUUCCACGUGUAGCAGUGAAAUGCGUAGAGAUGUGGAGGAACACCGAUGGCGAAGGCAGCCCCCUGGGCUAACACUGACGCUCAUGCACGAAAGCGUGGGGAGCAAACAGG